UCAAAAUGUCAGAUUUAUCAUCAUAAAAUGCAAUGUAGAAAAUAUGUUGUGGAGACAUGAAAUUAAGUUAAAACUACUAAAAAUGCUAUCAUAACACAACCAAAGCAUGGAAACACUUAUCAAAUAUUAAUAUAAAAAUGACAUUAUCAUACCUAUAUCUAUCACAUGUUACUAAAUUAUAUGUAGAAGGGUAAAUACAAUUUUUUGGACCCUGUGUUUUAUAAAAGUUACCGAUCGGACCCUCUAUUUUGUUAAAUGACAAUUUAAACCCUGUAUUUUAUAAAAUAGAACAAAAUAAUACUGAGUCCAAUUUUGGUCAAAUUUUUUCUUAAUAUGACCAAAAUACCCCUGAGUUUUAUUAAUUGAUGAAUUAAUUUCAUAAUUCAAAAUAUAUUUUAAAAUAAAAAAUUAAUUAAAUUAAUUAAAAAAUAAAAAACAUAAACUUAAAAAACAAAAAUCAAAAUUAAAAUCCUACACUUAAAAACCAAAAAUCAAAAUCAAACUCUUAAAUCUUAAAACUAAAAAAUAAAUUAAGAAACCUAAAAUCCCUAACAAUUACAACCAUUUUUUUACUGUUCUUCUUCCCCACACUAUUUUUCUUAUUCUUGUUCUCAGAUUUGGUCGGAGCUCUAAGAUGGAAAUCUGGAGAUCUCGAGUUGGUGGCGGAGAUGCAUGAUGGCGGCCUGGCUCCCUCGACGGCAACAUAUAUGGUCACGCGAAGUCGCUUGGCUCCCUCGAUAACGACAGAUCUAGUCACGCGAGACCUUGGGUGCCAGUCUAGAGUUGGUGGCGAAGAUGUACGACGAUGACUUCGCUCCCUCAACAGCGACAAAUCUGGUCACAUGAAGUCGCUUGGCUCCCUCAACAGCAGCAGAUCUGGUCAUGCGAGACCUUGGGUGUCAAUGGCGUAAGCUUGGUGUUGGCGACCACUGCAGAGGCUCUAAGAUGCGACAUGGUUGAAGGAGCAAGGGUUGAGCAAAGUUGGAGGAGUAGGGGCUCGGGCAGCUGAGUUUCAAUUGUUCAAUCUAUGAAAGUUUUACAUUAUUUUAGUAUAUUAUUGGAUUAUGGGUGUGCUUUUGGGAGAGAUGUUUGGGUGUUGAAUGAUUUUGGCAUAAUUUUAGAUUUUGAUUUUGAUUUUUGAA
Molecule: long non-coding RNA, 1142 nt
Organism: Humulus lupulus (European hop)
Lineage: Eukaryota; Viridiplantae; Streptophyta; Magnoliopsida; Rosales; Cannabaceae
Exons: 2
Source: RefSeq, a predicted model, not a curated record